Long non-coding RNA from Scleropages formosus (Asian bonytongue), 663 nucleotides. RefSeq lists it as uncharacterized. Lineage: Eukaryota; Metazoa; Chordata; Actinopteri; Osteoglossiformes; Osteoglossidae. The transcript is spliced from 5 exons. The record is from RefSeq and is a predicted model, not a curated record.
CACAGAGAGGAAGCUGCUCCAGACAACAUGUGAGGAUACUUACAGACAGGAAUCUUCAGUUUCAAUAACAUCCAGAAGGAAGAAAUGGUCACAGAAAGAGAAAAAUCUGAGAUGAAGGUGCCCUUUAAGACUGCUGCUGUGGAGAAAACUGUUGGAGUUCUCAUCGACAGGACAGCAACACCAAAUCAAUGGGUUAGCAGCAGUUAAGCCGAUGUGUGGCGUUAUCCGCAAGAUGCAGCCGGGAGUCACAGAUAAUGCCCCCCACUUAUCUCCACAAUUUCAGCAAAUGGUUUCAUCAUUUCUUCCCCCGCUGUCGGCGCCUCUGUUCUGACCCUGUCGCUGUGACGGAGGAAUAGCCAAGUUACAUAAAAUCAUCCCUGUUCAAGAUGAAGCGGAGCCUGUCUCAGAAGAACUGGGUAAAGGGUAGAAGGCUGAAAGGGGGUACACCCUGGAUGAGAUGCCAGUUCAUCACAGGGUGUUAAUUUUUAAAAUAUCUUUAAUUUUCCCAGUGCAUGUGCAUUUCAUGUUAAUUUUUUGGUCCUGAACCAAGAACCUGAGGGAAACACAAGUGAAUAAAAAAUUUGAACGGGGCAUUAUCAAAAAAGAAACAAAAUGUGCAUUAUUCCCCUAAGUUUAACCCUUUAGAGAGUCUACAGUCCACAG